AGCGAACGCUGGCGGCAGGCCUAACACAUGCAAGUCGAACGAUCCUUCGGGAUAGUGGCGGACGGGUGAGUAACACGUGGGAACGUACCUUUAGGUUCGGGAUAACUCAGGGAAACUUGAGCUAAUACCGGAUGUGCCCUUCGGGGGAAAGAUUUAUCGCCUUUAGAGCGGCCCGCGUUAGAUUAGCUAGUUGGUGAGGUAAAGGCUCACCAAGGCUCCGAUCUAUAGCUGGUCUGAGAGGAUGAUCAGCCACACUGGGACUGAGACACGGCCCAGACUCCUACGGGAGGCGGCAGUGGGGAAUCUUGCGCAAUGGGCGAAAGCCUGACGCAGCCAUGCCGCGUGAAUGAUGAAGGUCUUAGGAUUGUAAAAUUCUUUUAGCAGGGACGAUAAUGACGGUACCUGCAGAAAAAGCCCCGGCUAACUUCGUGCCAGCCGCCGCGGUAA
Molecule: ribosomal RNA, 447 nt
Filed under: uncultured bacterium
Lineage: Bacteria
Description: partial 16S ribosomal RNA
Rfam family: Bacterial small subunit ribosomal RNA
Source: RNAcentral